RNAcentral lists this non-coding RNA (29 nucleotides) under Mus musculus (house mouse). Lineage: Eukaryota; Metazoa; Chordata; Mammalia; Rodentia; Muridae. The record is from RNAcentral.
UCCUAAUGCAAUCUUUUCUAAGAUGUUCA